This 2369-nucleotide ribosomal RNA is filed under the name Patescibacteria group bacterium. RNAcentral's name for it is "bacterial SSU rRNA". It matches the Rfam family "Bacterial small subunit ribosomal RNA". The record is from RNAcentral.
UUUUUUGAGAGUUUGAUCCUGGCUCAGGAUGAAUGCUGGUGGCGUGCCUUAGGCAUGCAAGUCGAACGGGUCCGACGUUACGUCGGACCAGUGGCGGACGGGUGAGUAAUACGUAGGAAUUUACCUCUUGGUGGAGGAUAGCUCAGCGAAAGUUGGGGUAAUCCUUUAUAAGCUGCGUUCAGUUACAUGAACGUAGGAAAGGCCGUAACUGGCCGCCGAGAGAGAAGCCUGCGUCCUAUCAGCUUGUUGGUGAGGUAAUGGCCCACCAAGGCGAUGACGGGUAGGGGACGUGAGAGCGUGAUCCCCCACAAGGUUACUGAGAUACGGAGCCUACUUCUACGGAAGGCAGCAACUAGGAAUAUUCGGCAAUGGGCGAAAGCCUGACCGAGCGACGCCGCGUGCGGGAUGAAGGCCUUCGGGUCGUAAACCGCUGUGGAGAGGGAAAAUUAUGAUUGUACCUCUCUAGAAAGCACCUGCUAACUACGUGCCAGAAGCCUCGGUGAAACGUAGGGUGCAAGCAUUAUCCGGAUUUAUUGGGCGUAAAGAGUAUCGUAGGCGGUUUGGUAAGUGAUUGGUGAAAGCCCUCCGCUCAACGGAGGAACUGCCAGUCAUACUGCCAGGCUAGAGUGAUUUCGGGAAGGCUGGAAUUCUCGGUGUAGGGGUGAAAUCCGUUGAUAUCGAGAAGAACACCAAGGGCGAAGGCAGGCCUUUAGAAAUCUACUGACGCUGAUGAACGAAAGCUUGGGGAGCAAAAGGGAUUGUAAUUGGUCCCAUUUCGCAGUGAUGCGGGAUUAAAAACCAACUAUAUCGGUGAAUCUCCUUGUAUUUUGGUUUAUCUUCGGGUAAGCUUUUAAUAUGAGGACAAUACCGAGGGAAGUUAACUCUAUUUUGAAUAAGACACGUUUUAAGUUAAGCAAGAUUCAAAAAAAUGUUUUGAUAGGUACUUUGCUUGGGGAUGGAGGAAUUCGAUUUAGAGGCAAAAAUUGCCGUUUGCAUAUUAAGCAUUCGGCAAACCAAUUGCCUUUAAUUAAUUACAAGAGAAAAGUAUUUUUUAAUAUAACUUCGAUGAAAGUAAGGAAGUUUAGUCAAACUGUUGGCAACAAAAACUACAAUUUUGCCGAGUUUGUAACUUUAACCCAUCCGGAGUUUACGAAAUAUUUUCAUUUGUUUUAUCCAUUUAAUAAAAAGCAAGUUCCAAAAAACAUUGAUGAUUUAUUGGUUAAUCCAUUAAGUUUAGCUAUAUGGUUUAUGGAUGAUGGUUCAGCAGAAUAUGCCGGAGCCUCAUUGCAAACACAUAGUUUUACAAAAGAAGAUGUGGAGAAAUUAAUGAAAUGCAUCAAGCUUAAUUUUAAAAUUGAUGUUAUCAAACGACUGAAUAAAGGAAAGUGGAUUAUUUAUUUUCCGAAAGCAAGUAUGUCUAGGUUGCAAAAAGCGACUGAAAGAUACAUGUUAAAGGAAUUUAUGUAUAAGCUGAAACCAUAUUCGGUUCGUAAGAGUUUAACCCCGUAGAGACUGUACGUUGGAAUCAGAUGAGAAAUCUGAUUAUGAUACAGUCCGAUCUGUGCAGUAAUGUACAGACUCCGAUAGAAACAUCGGAGCGCCCCGGUGAAAACCGCGGGUUAUUAAGUAACAGAAUGUAGAGACCCCUGUAGUCCAAGCCGUAAACGAUGUUCACUAGCUGGUCCGACGUCCGUCGGACUGGCGUAAGCUAACGCGUUAAGUGAACCGCCUGGGGAGUACGACCGCAAGGUUAAAACUCAAAGGAAUUGACGGGGAAACGCACAACCAGGGGAGCAUGUGGUUUAAUUCGAGACAAAGCGAAGAACCUUACCUGGGCUUGACAUCUAUUUGACAGCUCCGUGAAAACGGAGUCUUUCGCAAGAACAAUUAGACAGCUGCUGCAUGGCUGUCGUCAGCUCGUACCGUGAGGCGUCGGCUUAAGUGCCGCAACGAGCGCAACCCCUGUCCUGUGUUGCAUUUCACAGGAGACUGCCUCGCUACUAGCGGGGAGGAAGGAGGGGACGACGUCAAGUCAGCACGGCGCUUACGCCCAGGGCUACACACAUCCUACAAUGGUGAGGAACAACGGGCAGCAAAACCGCAAGGUUGAGCUAAUCCUAAAAUCCUCCCUCAGUUCAGAUUGUGGGCUGAAAUUCGCCCGCAUGAAGUUGGACUUGGUAGUAAUCGCGGGUCAGCAGACCGCGGUGAAUACGUUCCCGUUUCUUGUACACACCGCCCGUCACAUGAGGAAAGUCGGCAACGCCCGAAGCGGUUCGACGUUACGUCGGACAACUAAGGCGAGGUCGAUAAUCAGCGUGAAGUCGUAACAAGGUAUCCGUUCUGGAAGGAGCGGAUGGAUCACCUCCUUU